CAGUCGAACGACUCUGGUAUUGAUUGGUGCUUGCAUCAUGAUUUACAUUUGAGUGAGUGGCGAACUGGUGAGUAACACGUGGGAAACCUGCCCAGAAGCGGGGGAUAACACCUGGAAACAGAUGCUAAUACCGCAUAACAACUUGGACCGCAUGGUCCGAGCUUGAAAGAUGGCUUCGGCUAUCACUUUUGGAUGGUCCCGCGGCGUAUUAGCUAGAUGGUGGGGUAACGGCUCACCAUGGCAAUGAUACGUAGCCGACCUGAGAGGGUAAUCGGCCACAUUGGGACUGAGACACGGCCCAAACUCCUACGGGAGGCAGCAGUAGGGAAUCUUCCACAAUGGACGAAAGUCUGAUGGAGCAACGCCGCGUGAGUGAAGAAGGGUUUCGGCUCGUAAAACUCUGUUGUUAAAGAAGAACAUAUCUGAGAGUAACUGUUCAGGUAUUGACGGUAUUUAACCAGAAAGCCACGGCUAACUACGUGCCAGCAGCCGCGGUAAUACGUAGGUGGCAAGCGUUGUCCGGAUUUAUUGGGCGUAAAGCGAGCGCAGGCGGUUUUUUAAGUCUGAUGUGAAAGCCUUCGGCUCAACCGAAGAAGUGCAUCGGAAACUGGGAAACUUGAGUGCAGAAGAGGACAGUGGAACUCCAUGUGUAGCGGUGAAAUGCGUAGAUAUAUGGAAGAACACCAGUGGCGAAGGCGGCUGUCUGGUCUGUAACUGACGCUGAGGCUCGAAAGUAUGGGUAGCAAACAGGAUUAGAUACCCUGGUAGUCCAUACCGUAAACGAUGAAUGCUAAGUGUUGGAGGGUUUCCGCCCUUCAGUGCUGCAGCUAACGCAUUAAGCAUUCCGCCUGGGGAGUACGGCCGCAAGGCUGAAACUCAAAGGAAUUGACGGGGGCCCGCACAAGCGGUGGAGCAUGUGGUUUAAUUCGAAGCUACGCGAAGAACCUUACCAGGUCUUGACAUACUAUGCAAAUCUAAGAGAUUAGACGUUCCCUUCGGGGACAUGGAUACAGGUGGUGCAUGGUUGUCGUCAGCUCGUGUCGUGAGAUGUUGGGUUAAGUCCCGCAACGAGCGCAACCCUUAUUAUCAGUUGCCAGCAUUAAGUUGGGCACUCUGGUGAGACUGCCGGUGACAAACCGGAGGAAGGUGGGGAUGACGUCAAAUCAUCAUGCCCCUUAUGACCUGGGCUACACACGUGCUACAAUGGAUGGUACAACGAGUUGCGAACUCGCGAGAGUAAGCUAAUCUCUUAAAGCCAUUCUCAGUUCGGAUUGUAGGCUGCAACUCGCCUACAUGAAGUCGGAAUCGCUAGUAAUCGCGGAUCAGCAUGCCGCGGUGAAUACGUUCCCGGGCCUUGUACACACCGCCCGUCACACCAUGAGAGUUUGUAACACCCAAAGUCGGUGGG
This 1408-nucleotide ribosomal RNA is filed under the name Lactiplantibacillus plantarum. Its description in RNAcentral is "bacterial SSU rRNA". It matches the Rfam family "Bacterial small subunit ribosomal RNA", at positions 59 to 1434 of the family's 1533-position model. Lineage: Bacteria; Bacillati; Bacillota; Bacilli; Lactobacillales; Lactobacillaceae. The record is from RNAcentral.